This 208-nucleotide ribosomal RNA is filed under the name uncultured bacterium. Its description in RNAcentral is "partial 16S ribosomal RNA". It matches the Rfam family "Bacterial small subunit ribosomal RNA", at positions 1293 to 1500 of the family's 1533-position model. The record is from RNAcentral.
UCGGAUUGCAGCCUGCAACUCGGCUGCAUGAAGCCGGAAUCGCUAGUAAUCGCGGAUCAGAACGCCGCGGUGAAUACGUUCCCGGGUCUUGUACACACCGCCCGUCACACCAUGGGAGUCGGGAACGCCCGAAGUCGGUGCCCCAACCGUAAGGAGGGAGCCGCCGAAGGCGGGCCCGGCGACUGGGGUGAAGUCGUAACAAGGUACC